UAGGACUAUACAACAAGGGGGAGCAGUAGGGCUUCCUGGGGAUAAGUGUCUCUAAUAUUCACCCACCAGACAGAUCGAUAUUUCAUCAACAAAGCAAUGGCAGGAUCUGAAAAAACACUGAUUUACAGCGGGUACACGCACUGCCCACUGAAGUCUGUGGCGCCUCCAAAGUCGACUUAUGUGGAUCUGGAUGAACUGCUGAACCUUAAACUGGACGAAUCAAAAACCGUGCAAGUAAGUUUUACUGGCGAUGCCAAUCAACUCCCAAUGAUUAAAAGUACUCGGAGCAAUGAUGAUCCAAACAAGAACAAGAUGCAGUACACCGGGUUAUCAUCAGUGGUAAAUAUGCCUACAAUUAUGAAGAAAUGUGUUCAUCUGGAAAACUGGAAAAACAAGCCAGAGGAAACAGAAAUAAUCAGUCCUGGAAAGUUAACAGACUGUCCCGAGUUGCUCAAAGAGCUCGAUUACGUGGGAAAUCUGGAAACAGAAACCAAUCUACAUGCUGAGUGUGAUUUACAGCCCACGGAUUCCUAUCUGAGCGGUAAAAGCGAGUCGGAUGACGAGGUGAGUGUGGUGAUUGCGGAUUACUGUUUACGCGAUGGCACCGGUGCCGAUGCGCACUACAUUACCACGCAUGAAAUACAGCUUGUUGAGCUCGAUCACGACGUGGAUGACGAUCUGAGCACCCCUUCCAGCUGGGAUAUCGAUGAUGACCACCAGGUCUAUUCAUUUGUAGAUUAUGCAUCGGUGGACAGCGAUGAAACUAUAGGACCCGAAGAAAGCAGCUCGGCAGAGGUCCAUAAAAGCGCAAAGCGCGCCAGUCCAGACCAGAGCGCGCAAGAGAGCCAAAGCACCGGCCACAUUCACCUGUCAAUCAAAGCCACUUCCAGAGCUAUAAGCGAGCCUAGCAACGUCCAGGAAAAGCAUGGCGGUGUCCAACAUACCACGCAUACUGAAGACAUGAGUCGUGUUUUGUUGGACACAAAGAAGGAAGAUAGUUGCGAUGGUGCAAAGUGUUUAAUUGCGCUCCCGGGACGUUUGCACUUUGGUAUUAAAUCCAAAAGCAAAGAUGUAACUGGGUUUUCCAGCGGGACAUCCAGCGCAAUUAGUGAGCUGGAUGACGCUGACAAAGAAGUGCGCAAUCUCACAGCCAGAGCUUUCAAAAGUUUAGCUUAUCCAUAUUUCGAUGCCAUCAGUUUCAGUACAUCUAGUGAAUCAUCAGCCUCUGAGCACGGCAGAGGAAUCAACGCGUGGUCUCUCGUGGAUCUAAAGUAUGGUAACAUGAAUGUAUCCAAAGCAGGAGAUCACAACAUAGUGGCCCAUCAACAUAGUGCCAGGUCUAAUUUUCAGUUGGCAAACAAGACAGAGAGUAACGGGAUUACAGGAUUAACCCUGACAAGUAGAAGGGCGCCCCCAGUCGAGAUAUUCGCUCUGAACGGCAACCUGCUAAAGCCAAAAAACACAUCAACAAAACAAUUCGAGCUCAUGGGGAAAUUUGGACAAGGCCCGAGCGGUAUUAUAAGGCUCACCGAAACCCUGAACUUUCGAUGCAAUGUUAAAGCAGGGGCCGCCAACGAGAGACGAGCAAAAUCCUCCCGAAGCACCGGAGGAUCACGUUCCGCAGAUGAGGUUACACGCGCUCGGUCAGGCGCGCACAGCAAGCCACCGCGCAAUUUAGACGAAGCAAUGGAGGACUCGCACAAGAAAUCUAUAUUCGCGUCGAGCCUGCUGAAAAAUGUAAUUUCCAAGAAAAUGCAGUUCGAGCAAGAGCGCAAGAUGGAGCGAGGGGAGAUCUCCGAGCCGUGUAGCGCGUCCUCGCCGUGCGCUUCCAGCCAAGAGACAGAACCUGUCCGAGACAGAGAGGCGCACAAAGCGCACAGACAGUGCUCCAAACUGUCCGGGGCUGAAUCAGACUUCUCUAUAGUGUGCCUGGAUGAACUUGGGGACAUCGUAGACAGCGAGUCGUGCAGUCUUAAGGACGAUUCGUGUCACAGUGAAAAUAUUGCACUCGCAUCGGAAACCAAUUUAGAUCCGACGCACGGCGCGGCACUCCACGCUAAAAAAGGAGCAUCGGAAGCGAACAGAAGCGCACUGAUUCGGAGCCAAAAUAGCGCGUUCAGAAGCUGGAGAGUCGGCCAAAUUGAGGAGCUAACGGAGCGCAAAAAGGAGCAAACCUCAUCGGAUGCAUUAAACAGCAAGCUGACUAAAAUGUCGCGCUUAUUCGUGCCAAGCAUCCAAGUCGUGUCCGGUCAGAGGGAACUCGCCGAACCUGACCCGAACACAGACUCCGGGAGAACACAGAGAGGAGGGCACGUGUCCAAAUCAAAGUCUCCUGAAAUUAAAAUUAGUUUGCGAAGUUUUAGAGAAACCAGAAGUGACCCAUUCAGCAUGGCAAAGCUGCUUACUCCUACUAUAGGCAGCAAUACAGCAAAAGCAGGGGAUGAGUCCAAAUACCAAGCACUCACUGCAGCACUAAAGAAUGACCCGUCUGAGAAGGUUCCUCACUUCACUGUUAGAGAUGUCCGAGACAAGAGCAAACCUCAAGCACCGAUUCACCAAGUUAGAGAUGUGCGCAAACUGGUCAAGAGCUCGUAUAACUUUGGGUCUGUGGACAGCAAUGAAAAGACUAGUAAUACUGAGUUGGUUCACAGGACUUCCAAACAAAACCAAACUCAGAACCCAUCAACUAUGUCCCCUAUAGUGAUUAAGUGUCAGUCUGUCAAUACAAACGACAAUCUGAAACAAUCUGAGUCUACAAAACACACAGUAUCAGAGGAUAUCCUAGAAAAAGAUGGGCCAUAUCCUGUGAUCCCUACAGAGGGUAUAAAGAUCAGUGGAUCGAAAAUAAAAAAAUCUAAUGACAGAAUGUCUUCACCCAGCAUAAAGAAUGAUGAGUUAAAAAUUGAAACAAGAACCACUACAAAAAAGCAAGAUACAGACAAAAUAAGUGAACCAAGUGACACCAAAAUGGUUGCUUUGGAAAAACUCCAGGCUGCUGUUAAAACAAUGGAGCAGCUUUAUGUAUUUGAUAAAAAUGAGUGGAAGAGGAAAUCAAAACCACAUCCCAUAACUGACAGCCACGUUCUUUCACUCAUCAGUAGUGAAACAGACCAGGAGGACAUGACGCAAGUCUCACAUUUAAAUGCUGAUAAAUUUCUACCUUCUGGACAGCAGUCAACCCAAAAUGAAGAUAAGCAAACCUUUAAGAUGUCACAUUCUCCAGUUCCUUAUGAGAAACGAAGUGGCGCCAAUACUUUGUUGCACUUUGGAGAAACUUCUACUAAGAAUAUUUCCAGUCAGAAAUCUUUAGUUCCUUUAACACCAAGCUCUGUUAAGAUCCCUGAAAAGCGUGCCCCAUCUUCGGUAUCUAUUAGUUCAAAAGCUAUACCCCCAAAAACUUCAAAGUUACCUUUGUCUUUAAAGAUCACCCAGUCAAAGCCUGACAGAGAAAAGCUAAAAAGCAAAGAAGCUGGAUUCAAGCCAGUUCAGUUUACGUCUUCAGCUGAUUCAGAAAAUUACAUAACCAUCCCAGUGAAACCUCAACCCAUUGCUGCCAAACAGUUUCACCUGGGCCAUGGUAGCAACACCAAAAGCCAUGGAGACAGUCAGCAGUCCCAAGAGCAAUCAAGCAUACUUAUGGAGACACAAUCCCCAGAUACCCCUACUGCUACGAUCUACCAUCACCCUCUGCCGAUUACAAUGCAAGCAGCUCCACCUCAGGUCUUUUGUUUAUCCCCUACAGUGCAGCCCUCUCCAGUCCCCACAGACCUCUUUCAUCCCACACAGCGAAAAAUGCUCCUGGACCCCACCACAGGAAAUUAUUACUUAGUAGAUACCCCAGUCCAACCAGCCACAAGGCGACUGUUUGAUCCAGAAACGGGGCAAUACGUGGACAUCCCCAUGCCCCAGCAGCCCCCAAUGACCCCUUUACCUAUGCCAAUCUCCCCUCUUGCACUCAGCCCUGGAGGUUAUGGUCAUACUUACAUGAUUUACCCAGGAUACAUGGCCACCACAGUUAUUCCCGCUAGGACUAUUCAGUCUCAGCUCUCAAUGCCAACAGAUGGGGAGGCAGGAGACAAAGUCCACACAGAACAGCAGGGAGAUAGAGCAUAUAUGGAAAGCCCUUAUUACAUGCCGUCUGGGAAAAAUGUGCAGGCAACUUUAGGAGCUCAAAACAUUACCACUGGCAAGGCACACAGCAAAGUACCUGUCAUCAGCAUCACCUCCCAGCAAGGCCCCAGGAUCAUUGCACCUCCCUCAUUUGAUGGUACCACUAUGAGCUUUGUGGUAGAACACAGAUAACAUUUUGACCAUUUACAGUGGGUGCCAACAUUGUGGAGGGAACUGCAUUACAGAUUUGGCCCUUAUCAAAGUCACUCAGGUGGAGCUGCCAGUAUUAUGUCCAACCACCACUUACAAGAUUUG
This is an RNA transcript of Trichomycterus rosablanca, 4425 nucleotides long. It is a transcript of the gene named chromosome 4 C4orf54 homolog, with no coding region annotated. NCBI's taxonomy places the organism in Eukaryota, Metazoa, Chordata, Actinopteri, Siluriformes, Trichomycteridae. The record is from RefSeq and is a predicted model, not a curated record. The transcript is spliced from 4 exons.